This 301-nucleotide ribosomal RNA is filed under the name uncultured bacterium. Its description in RNAcentral is "partial 16S ribosomal RNA". It matches the Rfam family "Bacterial small subunit ribosomal RNA", at positions 509 to 807 of the family's 1533-position model. The record is from RNAcentral.
CAGUAGCCGCGGGAAUACAGAGGAUGCAAGCGUUAUCCGGAAUGAUUGGGCGUAAAGGGCUCGUAGGUGGUUGAUCGCGUCGGAAGUGAAAUCUUGGGGCUUAACCCUGAGCGUGCUUUCGAUACGGGUUGACUUGAGGAAGGUAGGGGAGAAUGGAAUUCCUGGUGGAGCGGUGGAAUGCGCAGAUAUCAGGAGGAACACCAGUGGCGAAGGCGGUUCUCUGGGCCUUUCCUGACGCUGAGGAGCGAAAGCGUGGGGAGCGAACAGGCUUAGAUACCCCCGUAGUCCCUGUCUCUUAUAC